RNAcentral lists this ribosomal RNA (254 nucleotides) under uncultured bacterium. RNAcentral describes it as "partial 16S ribosomal RNA". It matches the Rfam family "Bacterial small subunit ribosomal RNA", at positions 524 to 776 of the family's 1533-position model. The record is from RNAcentral.
UACGUAGGGGGCAAGCGUUGUCCGGAUUUAUUGGGCGUAAAGAGCGUGUAGGCGGUCAGGUAGGUCCGUUGUGAAAACUCGAGGCUCAACCUCGAGACGCCGAUGGAAACCAUCUGACUAGAGUCCGGAAGAGGAGAGUGGAAUUCCUGGUGUAAGCGGUGAAAUGCGCAGAUAUCAGGAAGAACACCCGUGGCUAAGGCGGCUCUCUAGUACGGUACUGACGCUGAGACGCGAAAGCGUGGGGAGCGAACAGG